UAUGAAUGCCUUAGGAUCUGGGAUGG
RNAcentral lists this non-coding RNA (26 nucleotides) under Callithrix jacchus (white-tufted-ear marmoset). Lineage: Eukaryota; Metazoa; Chordata; Mammalia; Primates; Cebidae. RNAcentral also lists the same sequence under 1 other name. The record is from RNAcentral.